GUCUCUUCCUUCCUAGGCCUACCUCUGUUGGUGCUUUUGUCUUCCAACCUCCCUAUGUAGUAAGACCAGCCAAGCCCACAUGCCCACUGGGAGCCCUGAAACCAGAUCUGGUUUUCUGUCUUACCUGAACAGGUUCCCAGAACCCACACCAGGCCUCUGAAUCAGUCUCUGAGAAUCUGAUUGAUUUAAAGCCACUUGGUUGCUUCCAUUGCACUACCUGGGUUGCGAUCCCCUCAAUUGAUUUAGUAAAAAGAAAACUUAGCGGCCGGGUGCGGUGGCUCACACCUGUAAUCCCAGCACUUUGGGAGGCUGAGGCGGGUGGAUCACCUGAGGUCGAGAGUUCCAGACCAGCCUGACCAACAUGAAGAAAUCCCGUCUCUACUAAAAAUACAAAAUUAGCCGGGCGUGAUGGCGCAUGCCUGUAAUCCCAGCUACUUGGAGGCUGAGGCAGGAGAAUUGCUUGAACCUGGGAAGCGGAGGUUGUGGUGAGCCGAGAUCAUGCCAUUGCACUCCAGCCUGGACAACAAGAGUGAAACUCCAUCUCAAAAAAAAAAAAAGAAAAGAAAAGAAAAGAAAGAAAACUCAGCUAGGAAUUAGAAACAUCAUUUGUCCUCUUGGCCUGUUCAGCUGGUGACUGUAGAUUUGAUGAAAAGGAAACUUGGGACUCCGGAGGACCAAGAUGGAGCGAGACGGUCAAUACUGAUGGACUUGCAGCUAGCACCAUGGCAGCCCUGCCUGGUCUAAGGAAGCUGGCAGGAGGCGAUGGUACCUGGCGGGGGCAGACUGCCCACCUCCCCACUCCUUCAGAGGACUGUUUCCUGCCCUUCACACCAUCAUCAUGUUGGGCCCUGCAUGUAUGUUCCUGCACUUGGAGCGAGCCCAGGGACACAGGGCAGACACUGGGCUCACAGAUGUUGCUGCAGCUGAGCCAGAAAACAUUCCAGGCAGGAAAAGCAGGUGCACACAUUCACACAGGCCUCUGGUCACUCGACCAGCCAGAAUGAGACGGACUCCUUGACCUGGGAAGUCAAGUCCCAGUGGGAAGGGCUGGAAAUCACACGUGGUCAACUUCUUGGCUCUCUCUGCUCCCCAAACCCUGGCCCUAGGCUUGCUUUAUCAUCACAUCCCAAGGCCAGAGGGCUGCUGCUGUCCCCAUCUUGGCCCUGCUAGAAGAGGGAUAGGGGUGGCUGGCAUGAUGGGUGAGGGGAACAUGAGAAUAUGCAGAGGCCUUGGAGGAAGAGGACUGGCAGUUAUGACAGGAAGGCUCUCUAUACCUGGCUCCCCAGUGUUCUGCCCCUGGCACUGAGCAUGAGGAGCCAGGCUUUGGGGAGACUUUGCAAUCACCCCCCCAACCUGGUCCAUUUUCCACAGGUAGCUUUCUUGAACUCACCUUGACCCCUCCUCAGCCAGCAGCCCCCACCUCCAGGGGCAAAGGAGCUGAAAGACAGUCCUGAACUGGGGGGAGCUGGGAUCACAUCAGCCAGGCCCUGUCCCUCACAGGAAGUGAGAUGAGGUGAUACCAUGGAUGGUGACUAAGGCCCCAAAGUCCCUGCCUCUCUGCCUCCCCAGAAACCUCACAGCCAGGCCAGCCCCCAGAGCAGAGCCUGUGUAAACAUGCCCAGGAGGGGAGGAGGGGUUGCUACAUAUGAGAAACAGUUAAAAAUAAAUUUAAAAAGCACCACUA
This 1684-nucleotide long non-coding RNA is filed under the name Homo sapiens (human). RNAcentral describes it as "non-protein coding VASH1-AS1:13". Lineage: Eukaryota; Metazoa; Chordata; Mammalia; Primates; Hominidae. The record is from RNAcentral.